Molecule: ribosomal RNA, 493 nt
Filed under: uncultured bacterium
Lineage: Bacteria
Description: partial 16S ribosomal RNA
Rfam family: Bacterial small subunit ribosomal RNA
Source: RNAcentral
GACGAACGCUGGCGGCGUGCCUAACACAUGCAAGUCGAACGGUGAAGCACCGUCCUUUUGCUGGGUGGGGGUGCGUGGCGCGGGUGUGUGUAACAUGGGAGUAACCCGCCUCCUUCGUCGGGAUCACCGCAUGAAAGUUUGUCUUAUACCAGAAAAUCUUGGUCCGUAGCAUGUCGGGCCUGGGGAAGCUAUUGCUUCGGUGGGGGAUGGGCUCGCGGUUUAUUAGCUUGUUGGUGGGGUGAUGGCCUACCAAGGCGGUGAGGGGUAGCCGGCCUGAGAGGGUGGCCGGUCACAGAGGGACUGAGACACGGACCAGACUCCGACGGGAGGCAGCGGUGAGGAUUAGUGAACGAUGGGAGCAAGCCUGAUGCAGCGACGCCGCGUGAAGGAUGGUGGCCGGCGGGUUGUAACCGUCUUUCGCGAGUGAAGCAGGCCUGUCUCUUUUGUGGGUGGGUUGACGGUAGCUGGACAAGAAGCGCCGGCUAACUACGUG